Molecule: ribosomal RNA, 873 nt
Filed under: uncultured bacterium
Lineage: Bacteria
Description: bacterial SSU rRNA
Rfam family: Bacterial small subunit ribosomal RNA
Source: RNAcentral
CCUACGGGAGGCAGCAGUGGGGAAUCUUGCACAAUGGGCGAAAGCCUGAUGCAGCGACGCCGCGUGGGGGAUGAAGCUUCUCGGAGUGUAAACCCCUUUCGAUCCGGACGAAUGCCUCGCAAGAGGAGUGACGGUACGGAUAUAAGAAGCCCCGGCUAACUACGUGCCAGCAGCCGCGGUAAUACGUAGGGGGCCAGCGUUGUUCGGAAUUACUGGGUGUAAAGGGUUCGUAGGCGGUGCGGCAAGUUGGGAGUGAAAUCUCUGGGCUCAACCCAGAGACGGCUUCCAAAACUGCUGUGCUUGAGUGUGGGAGAGGCGCGUGGAAUUGCAGGUGUAGCGGUGAAAUGCGUAGAUAUCUGCAGGAACACCCGUGGCGAAAGCGGCGCGCUGGACCACUACUGACGCUGAAGAACGAAAGCUAGGGGAGCAAACAGGAUUAGAUACCCUGGUAGUCCUAGCCCUAAACGAUCAGGACUUGGGGUGCCACCCGUUCGGGUGGCGUCCCGGAGCUAACGCGUUAAGUCCUGCACCUGGGGAGUACGGUCGCAAGACUGAAACUCAAAGGAAUUGACGGGGGCCCGCACAAGCGGUGGAACAUGUGGUUCAAUUCGACGCUACGCGAGGAACCUUACCUGGGCUCGAAAUGCUAGUGACCAGCUUUAGAAAUAUCGCCUUCCCGCAAGGGACGCUAGUAUGGGCGCUGCAUGGCUGUCGUCAGCUCGUGUCGUGAGAUGUUGGGUUAAGUCCCGCAACGAGCGCAACCCUUGUCCUGUGUUGCCACUCCCGUAAGGGAAGCACUCUCAGGAGACCGCCAGCGAUAAGUUGGAGGAAGGUGGGGAUGAUGUCAAGUCAUCAUGGCCUUUAUGUCCAGGG